This 3800-nucleotide unclassified non-coding RNA is filed under the name Leishmania donovani. RNAcentral describes it as "gene:LdHU3.36.9450(CDS-product:adaptin_complex_1_ subunit_putative)". Lineage: Eukaryota; Euglenozoa; Kinetoplastea; Trypanosomatida; Trypanosomatidae. The record is from RNAcentral.
GUGCGAGCAAAGGGAACACUACGAGUCGACACAGCAUCACAUUGCCGUGACUCGCCCACCGCUGCUGACACCUCCCACACAUCCGUUCCCCCGACACCCUCACACAAACCUUUUUCUUUUUGUUUUGUUGCCGCUCUUCAGGCGGCUUUCCACACCCGUGUCCGUGUGACACAAGGCAGCACGGCUGCUACCGAAAGCGACGCGCUGGGCUAAGGAUCGCUGCGCACCGCGAGGAGGUGUCUGAGACGAAAUCUCGGUUUCCUGCUCACGUGCCCUUCGUUCAAGGCCUGUUCGCGGAACCGUCGAAGGCGACGUGCGCCUGCCCUUCACCCCCCUCACCCUCUCCCUCCCCCACUCAAUCAUAGGAACGCGCGCGAUGGAGAACUUUCUCCGCAAGGCGCGCGAGAGAAUUCAGCGCAAAUUGGAGGAAACAAAGACGGGAUCCAAGUACUUUGCGCAGACGCGCCGCGGCGAAGCUGCGGAGCUGCAAAAUGACCUCAACGGCACCGACAGCUAUCGCAAAAAGGCCGCGGUGAAGCGCAUCAUCGCCAACAUGACGAUGGGGCGCGACGUGAGCUACCUCUUUGUCGACGUCGUGAAGCUGGCUCCAUCGACCGAUCUGGAGCUCAAGAAGUUGGUCUAUUUGUACGUGCUCAGCACGGCGCGGCUGCAGCCGGAGAAGGCGUUGCUAGCCGUCAACACGUUCCUGCAGGAUACCACGAACAGCUCUCCCGUUGUGCGGGCGCUUGCGGUGCGGACGAUGAUGUGCAUCCGGGUGUCCUCGGUACUCGAAUACACGCUGGAGCCUCUGCGCCGUGCCGUGGCAGAUCCGGACCCGUACGUGCGCAAGACUGCCGCCAUGGGCCUCGGCAAGCUGUUUCACGAUGACAUGAACCUCUUUUACCAGCAGGACUUCAAGAAGGACCUCGUGGAGCUGCUUAACGACAACAACCCAAUCGUCGCAUCCAACGCCGCAGCAAUCGUGUGCGAGGUGAACGACUACGGAAGCGAGAAGAUUGAGAGUAGCAACGAAUGGGUGAAUCGACUCGUCUACCACCUGCCAGAGUGCAAUGAAUGGGGGCAACAGUACAUCCUUGACCUACUGGCGGCCCAGCGUCCUAGCGACAAGGAGAGCGCCGAGACUCUGCUGACGCGCGUUCUGCCCCGCAUGAAUCACCAGAACCCGGCUGUGGUGAUGGGGGCGAUCAAGGUAGUUGCCAACCUGGCGAGCCGGUGCUCGCAGGAGCUGAUUGAGCGCUGCACUGUGCGCGUCAACACCGCCCUCCUAACGCUGGCGAAGCGCGAUGCUGAAACACAGUACAUUGUCUGCAAGAACAUUCACGCACUGCUGGUCAUCUUUCCGAAUUUGCUGCGCACCAACCUCGACGCCUUCUACGUACGUUACAGCGACCCGCCGUUCGUUAAGCUGGAGAAGCUGCGCCUCCUGUUGAAGCUUGCCACGCCGUCCGUGGCGCCAGAGAUUGCCAAGGAAUUGGCCGAGUACGCCUCGGGGGUGGACAUGGUGUUUGUGGUCGAGGUGGUGCGUGCCAUCGCUUCGCUCGCCAUCAAGGUAGAUUCCAUGGCGCCUGACUGCGCGAACCUUCUCAUGCAGCUAGUGGAUCGGCGGCCAGAGCUGCUGCCUCACGUGGUGACAGCCGCAAAGGAUAUUGUGCGCAAGUACCCAGAGCUACUCAUGCUGGAUGCGCUGGUGACCGACUACGGCGCUGACGAGGUCGUAGAGGAGGAGGCGAAGGUGUCGUUGCUGUGGAUGCUGGGUGAGUACUGCGACUUCAUCGAAAACGGCAAGGACAUUAUUCAGCGCUUUAUCGACACCAUCAUGGAGCACGAGCAGCGCGUGCAGCUCGCGAUCCUGAGCGCGGCGGUGAAGAUGUUUCUACGAGACCCGCAGACGAUGGAGCCGCAGCUGAAUCGCGUGCUGGAAACCGUGACGACGCACAGUGACGACGCCGAUGUGCGUGACCGCGCCUUUGCGUACUGGCGUCUGCUCUCUAAGGGCAUCACUGUGGAGCAGAUGGAAAAGGUGGUUCAUGGGCAAAUGGUGCCUGUGAACGUCGACCACACCUUCAGCGAUGCCAUGACCAUGGCGGACCUAAAGAAGUCCCUCAACACUGCCGCCAUCGUGUUCGCCCGCCCGUACCAGUCGUUUCUCCCUCCCUACGGGCUGGCCGACGUGGAACUGGACGAGGAGGACACAGAGGACGACGAUGCGGUGAAGCUGCCAGCGACACCGUCGAUGGGCACCCAGGAUGGGGCAUCGGCGCCUGAUGCUGCACGGGCAAGGUACGAUAUAUUUGAGUUCUUGGGCGAUGGGACCGGGGCGCGUCACCCGGUGGCGAGCGGCAGCAACGGCGCUCAGCAUGCAGAUCCUUUUGGCGACCUGUUCAGCGCCUCGCCUUCCACCGUCGGGGCCUCCUCGCCAGCCUUUCAGGCCGCGUCAGGGUCACAGGCGCCAGCAUCACCGCCAACCGCAGCGAGUGCCAUGGAGGACUUGUUCGGAAACGGUAUGGGAAGCGGAAGUCAAACAGUGCCAGCGCCAAUCUCUGCCGCACCGCAGUCCGCCGGUAGAGACACGCAGCUGAAUGAUCUCUUUUCCUAAGCGGAACACGUGCAAAAGUGUGUUGCAAAGGGAAGUCGUCCGCUAUGUACGCAGAGUGGAGGGCCGUGUGUGCCGGGUUGAGUGAAUAUGCUAUAUGCUGAGUGUACUGUGUGCUUAGGCGCGUUUCGCGCCUUCGAGCCCUUCUCAUUCUCCAAUCCUUAGCACUCCCUCUGUCGUCCUCGGCCUGCCCGAGAUCCAACAGAUACUGCUUUUCACCCAACCUCCCCUCCGACACGCUGCCUUUCUCAGCCCCCCUACCCCUUCCCUUCCUCUCCUAUUAGGAUGCAGAUGAUGCGUUGGCUGUGGCCGCUGUCGUUUUGUUCUUCGCUUUCCUCUUUUAUCUUUUUGUUUCUCGUUGUGUACUCAAGGGCUCCGUGUGUUUAUCGGUUGUGCUUCUUCUUGUCCGUUUGACGGUUGUAGCAUGCCCUGAUGACGGGCACACCUCGGUGCGCAGCAUCUCAGGGUCCAGCGCCUCAUCUGUGGGCCAGCCCUGCAGACCCCUCCCCCUCCCCCCGUAUGUCCCCGCGAACGCACAGCUGCAUGUGGUGGUGACAGGCUCAAAAGUACCCCCACGGCGUGGGGGUGGAGGUGAGAGCGAUUCAGCGGUGCUGAUAUGCCAGCGUUGAUGCCGUGGAUGGCGCUGCGUCGCAGCGAGCUGCGGCCGUGGGCACGCUUGUGCCAUGCCUAGGAUAGAAGGCAAGCGUGCCCGCGUGGCUCGCACGUACCUCCUUGGGCCGCCUCACUGGCCGCUGGUGUGAUGGGAGCCUGAGCUACCCCCCAGACAGAGUGAGAGAGAGAGAGAGGUGCGCCAGGUGGCGACCAGCACAGCGGGAGCGACCCGUGAGGCGACCUGGGGGGUGGGUGGGCGGGCUUGGGGCUGAGGCAGAGACCGUGCUCGGGUGGCCGCGUCGGCGCAGGGUGCUGUGUGGGGCGCCCGCCUGUCUAGCGCUGCUCGGCACCACGCGAUGGGCCUGUGGCAGGACGGCUGUAGCGUGGAGUGGAACUCGUGUUCUAUUGCGGAACAAAAAAAGCGGUGAGAAAAAAGGGCUUUGGCAUGCACAUGUGUAUCCAGCGUGGUGGCGGACGGCUACACGGCCACUCUUAGCUUCUUUCUGCGGAGGGGUGCGUCGGGCUGGUGAGGGAGUGGGAGGUGGUCUGCGCUCUGUUGCUUCGUAAGCAGAAG